This 603-nucleotide ribosomal RNA is filed under the name uncultured euryarchaeote. RNAcentral's name for it is "bacterial SSU rRNA". It matches the Rfam family "Archaeal small subunit ribosomal RNA", at positions 83 to 691 of the family's 1478-position model. Lineage: Archaea; Methanobacteriati; Methanobacteriota. The record is from RNAcentral.
CGGCUCAGUAACACGUGGAUAACCUACCCUCAGAUCUGGGAUAACUCCGGGAAACUGGAGAUAAUACCGGAUAAUCCGUGAACGCUGGAAUGCCUUACGGUUGAAAGCUUUAGCGUCUGAGGAUGGGUCUGCGGCCGAUUAGGUAGUUGCUGGGGUAACGUCCCAACAAGCCGAUAAUCGGUACGGGUUGUGAGAGCAAGAGCCCGGAGAUGGAUUCUGAGACACGAAUCCAGGUCCUACGGGGCGCAGCAGGCGCGAAAACUUUACACUGCGCGAAAGCGCGAUAAGGGGACCUCGAGUGCGUGCGCAAAGCGUACGCUUUUCAGAUGCCUAAAAAGCAUCUGGAAUAAGGGCCGGGCAAGACCGGUGCCAGCCGCCGCGGUAACACCGGCGGCUCAAGUGGUGGCCGCUAUUAUUGGGCUUAAAGGGUCCAUAGCCGGACCAGUUAGUCCCUUGGGAAAUCUUACGGCUUAACCGUAAGGCUGCCAAUGGAUACUGCUGGUCUUGGGACCGGGAGAGGCAAGAGGUACCUCAGGGGUAGGAGUGAAAUCCUGUAAUCCUUGAGGGACCGCCAGUGGCGAAGGCGUCUUGCUAGAACGGGUC